Gallus gallus (chicken) is the source of this 294-nucleotide long non-coding RNA. RefSeq lists it as uncharacterized. NCBI's taxonomy places the organism in Eukaryota, Metazoa, Chordata, Aves, Galliformes, Phasianidae. The record is from RefSeq and is a predicted model, not a curated record. The transcript is spliced from 2 exons.
GAACUUUCUGGAGAUUGCUCCUCUUAGAGUUUUUCCUCUGAGCCUACAACACAGAGAAAGGGUCUGCAGCAGAGCAUGUCGGACACUGAACAGGCACCCCAAGGCAGUGGUCACAGCACCAAACUGUCAAGAGUCCAAGAAGCACCUGGACAACACUUUCAGGCAUAGAGUUUAAAUUUUGGGUGGUACUUUGUGGAACCAGGACUUGAUGAUCUUCAUGGGCCCAUUCCAACUUUGGAUUUUCCUAUGAUUCUAUAAAUUAUUAUACUGAUAAAAAACACGCUAUUCUUAUUA